AACUUCUGUAAAGAAAACAGAAAUUACAACAAAAGAGAAGCAAUUAAAUAAUAGUUGUUUUACUACUGACUGCUUAUUAGGUCUAGUUUAUACACAGUUCCAAAGAUCAGACGAGGUUUAUGCAUUUGCCAGAUCUGAGUGGCCAGAGACUGAAUGGACUGGUAUUCUACAUGCAGACUCUCACAGAGCUUUGACCAAAACAGUGAUAUCCAUUAGUUCAAGUUCAUACAAUGUUUCCACGUGAAACACUUUGUUAACAUUAAUCAGCAUGCUCCCAUUUUAGUGCCUAUUAACUGUAAUUUUGGUAAAAAUAUUCAAAUGAAAAAUUCACAUUGUGCCUAUAUGCUUAGUUUGUUUAUCUGCAAAUCUUUGUAGUAUAUCCAAAUUCCUUUAAAGACUUCCUGUCGUGGUCAUCACUGAAGAACAACAGAAUUCUUCAAACCCUGUGGCCAUGGGUAGGGAGUGGAGAAGCCCCAAAUCAGUGAAAUGCCGAGCAAAUGUGUAUUUUGAGAUUGGUAUGGCCUGUUGAGGACUCCAAGACUAAUUGGCCCAAGUCCAAACCCCAGCAGAGCAUCGAUGCCAAGAGACACUUGCUCCCUAACCUACAGCGACGCUAAGAUGAUGUCCUCACCUAUGGCAGCGAGGUUCCGGCAGGUCUCCAGCAUCACAUCUCUGUACAGACUCUUCUGGGAAGGAUCCAGCAGAGCCCACUCUUCCUGGGUGAAGUGCACAGCCACGUCCUCAAAGCUCACUGAGGCCUAAACAUUGCACACAUCAAUUGACAAGAGGUUCAUUCCACACUGUGGGGUCCACACAUCUGUCCCAUGACACAGACGCUGUCUUGCAAACACUGAGGAUGUGGAAGGAAGCAGCCCUGCAGCAGCACCCUCUCAUGACUGGGCCCAGGCACAGGACGUGCUGCUGCUCUGCCCCGGUCCUCUUUCUACAGGGAACUUCCACUUCCUGUCUCAGAGCCCUCCCACCCGAUAGAACAGCGGUGACACUAGUAUGUGAGCGUCUGCUUGUCCUUAGAAAUUCCUGGUAGCAAUGCUUACAUUAAAAAUGUAUCUUUUAACUUUAUGUAUAUGUGCGUAUGCCUGACUGUAUGUACGUAUGUGUGUGUCGAGGUCCACAGAGGUUGGAAGAAGCAUCACAACCCCUGGACCUGGAGUUAUGGACAGUUUCAGCCACCAUGUGGAUGUUUGGCACUAAACCCAGCACAUCCUCUGCAAGAACAUUCGGUUCUCUUAGCCUGAGUAAUUUCCCCAGCCUCAAUGCUAAAAUUUGAUAGUGGAAGCAAUCUUAAUGUCUUGGUUGAAAAUGCAUGAAUACAAAUGAUAAAUAAAUCACUCAGGAUAAACGUUUAA
Long non-coding RNA from Mesocricetus auratus (golden hamster), 1367 nucleotides. RefSeq lists it as uncharacterized. NCBI's taxonomy places the organism in Eukaryota, Metazoa, Chordata, Mammalia, Rodentia, Cricetidae. The record is from RefSeq and is a predicted model, not a curated record. The transcript has 2 exons.